Molecule: ribosomal RNA, 253 nt
Filed under: uncultured bacterium
Lineage: Bacteria
Description: partial 16S ribosomal RNA
Rfam family: Bacterial small subunit ribosomal RNA
Source: RNAcentral
AACGUAGGACGCAAGCGUUAUCCGGAGUUACUGGGCGUAAAGCGCGGGCAGGCGGUCUUGCCAGUCUGAUGUGAAAUCUCCCCGCUCAACGGGGAGCAGCCAUUGGAAACUACAAGACUGGAGUCUGACAGAGGUAGGCGGAAUUCCGGGUGGAGUGGUGAAAUGCGUAGAGAUCCGGAGGAACACCAGAGGCGAAGGCGGCCUACUGGGUCAGUACUGACGCUGAGCCGCGAAAGCGUGGGGAGCAAACAGG